This 92-nucleotide transfer RNA is filed under the name Acidipila sp. EB88. Its description in RNAcentral is "tRNA-Ser". It matches the Rfam family "tRNA". Rfam says of the family: Transfer RNA (tRNA) molecules are approximately 80 nucleotides in length. Their secondary structure includes four short double-helical elements and three loops (D, anti-codon, and T loops). Lineage: Bacteria; Pseudomonadati; Acidobacteriota; Terriglobia; Terriglobales; Acidobacteriaceae. The record is from RNAcentral.
GGAGAGAUGGCAGAGUCCGGUCGAAUGCAGCUGACUCGAAAUCAGCCAUACCUUUACGGGUAUCGGGGGUUCAAAUCCCUCUCUCUCCGCCA